AGAGUUUGAUCCUGGCUCAGAAUCAACGCUGGCGGCGUGCCUAACACAUGCAAGUCGAACGAGAAAGUGGAGCAACCCAUGAGUAAAGUGGCGACCGGGUGAGUAACACGUGACUAACCUACCUCCGAGUGGGGAAUAACUCCGGGAAACCGGGGCUAAUACCGCAUAACAUCGCAAGAUCAAAGCAGCAAUGCGCUUGGAGAGGGGGUCGCGGCUGAUUAGCUAGUUGGCGGGGUAACGGCCCACCAAGGCGAAGAUCGGUAUCCGGCCUGAGAGGGCGCACGGACACACUGGAACUGAAACACGGUCCAGACUCCUACGGGAGGCAGCAGUGGGGAAUUUUGCGCAAUGGGGGAAACCCUGACGCAGCAACGCCGCGUGGAGGAUGAAGCCCUUUGGGGCGUAAACUCCUUUCGACUCGGAAGAUUAUGACGGUACGAGUGGAGAAGCCCG
This 453-nucleotide ribosomal RNA is filed under the name uncultured soil bacterium. RNAcentral describes it as "bacterial SSU rRNA". It matches the Rfam family "Bacterial small subunit ribosomal RNA", at positions 8 to 494 of the family's 1533-position model. The record is from RNAcentral.